UACGGAGGGUGCGAGCGUUGUCCGGAAUCAUUGGGCGUAAAGGGCGCGUAGGCGGUCUGCUAAGCGUGCGGUGAAAGCCUGGGGCUCAACCCCAGGUCUGCCGUGCGAACUGGUGGACUAGAGCACUGUAGAGGCAGGUGGAAUUCCGGGUGUAGCGGUGGAAUGCGUAGAGAUCCGGAAGAACACCGGUGGCGAAGGCGGCCUGCUGGGCAGUUGCUGACGCUGAGGCGCGACAGCGUGGGGAGCAAACAGGAUUGA
RNAcentral lists this ribosomal RNA (258 nucleotides) under uncultured bacterium. RNAcentral's name for it is "partial 16S ribosomal RNA". It matches the Rfam family "Bacterial small subunit ribosomal RNA", at positions 524 to 781 of the family's 1533-position model. The record is from RNAcentral.